GCGCAGCAGUCGCGAAACUUCGGCAAUGCACGAAAGUGUGACCGAGCGACGCUGCGUGCAGGAAGAAGGCCUUCGGGUUGUAAACUGCUGUUCUUAAGGAAGAAUUAACCCGCCUUUGGCGAGCCUUGACGGUACUUAAGCAGAAAGGGGCACCUAACUCUGUGCCAGCAGGUGCGGUAAUACAGAGGCCCCAAGCGUUACCCGGAUUUAUUGGGCGUAAAGCGUCCGCAGGCGGAAUAGUGCGUCUGCUGUUAAAACAUUAGGGCUCAACCCUAAGCAAGCAGUGGAUGCGGCUAUUCUAGAGGUAGGAAGAGGUAAACGGAACUCCCGGUGGAGCGGUGAAAUGCGUUGAUAUCGGGGGGAACACCAAUUGCGAAGGCAGUUUACUGGUCCUCACCUGACGCUCAGGGACGACAGCGUAGGGAGUGAACGGGAUUAGAUACCCGGGUAGU
Molecule: ribosomal RNA, 452 nt
Filed under: uncultured microorganism
Description: bacterial SSU rRNA
Rfam family: Bacterial small subunit ribosomal RNA
Source: RNAcentral